UACUCCAUGCUCAGAAGCCAAGUCCUGGGAUUUAGAACUAAUGAUUUGGGCAUUUGCAUGCAUAAAAUACUCUCCAACAGAAUCAAGAUUAUGUUCAACAUUGCUAACCUCUAUUUUCACUUCACAACAAACAAUUUCAGUACUACCACUUGAAGCACAUGGAAACUCUUGUAAGCAAUUAGCAGCUUCAGAUCCAAUAUGAGAUACCACAGGCAAUUUACUUUCCAUCUUUGAUGCAUUAUGCAGGUUCAACUGCACAUGCAAUUCUUGUAAUGCAUUGUCAAUGGGCAGAAUGAUGGAAGCAGGCAAAGAAUUCUGUUGUACAGUAAUCUUUGCCACUUGUUGAUAAGCAUCACAUACAGAAUCAGGAGGGCUCACAAUAUUUUCAUUUCUCCCGUCCAGAUUAUUAGAAAUCGUAACAGAUUGAUCAUGGCAUUUUAUUUUAUUCCUGUCCUGAAUUGUGAGGUUAGAUGGCUCACUCAAGGUAGCAGCAAGUCGACCAGAUUCAGCUGCGGCAGGUUCACCAAUUACAUUACCAGAACAAGCUACAUUAGACACACUGGAACCUGCCAAAUCAAAUCCACCUGAAUCACUCCCAUCACAAUUAUUUAUCAUCUCAUCUUCAGUUUUUUUACCAGCAUUGCACAGAGAAUCAAGAGGGUUCACAAUAUUUGCAUUUCCCCCCUCCAGAAUAUCUGAAGUCAAUGUUGACUGAACACAGCAUUUUGUAUUAUUCAGACCCUGAAUUGAGAUGUCAGAUGUAUUAUUCAAGCAGCCAUCAAGAAAUAGGGAAGCUGCGGCAGGUUCACCAGUUAUUUUGCUGGUAUAACUAGAACCUUUCAAAUCAAAUCCAGUUGAAUAUCUCCCCUCAGAAUUGUUUAUCAUCUCAUUUCCACAUUGUUCAUCAAUAUCAUGUGAAGAAUCAUGGGGUUCCACAAUACUUUUAUUUCCACCAUCUAGAUUAUCAGAAGUCAAACCUGACUCAUGGCAUUUUGUAGUGUUAGCACUCUGGAUUCCAACUUCAGAUGUAUCAUUGAAGCAACCAUCAGGAAGAAGUGAACCAGAUUCAACAACAGCAGAUUCACCAAUUAUGCUAUUGGCAUGAGGUAAACUAGUCUCACUAGAACCUUUCAAAUGAAAUCCAGCUGAAUAUCUCUCAUCAGAAUUGUUUACUAUCUCAUUUCCACAUUGUUCAUCAAUAUCAUGUGAAGAAUCAUGGGGUUCCACAAUACUUUUAUUUCCACCAUCUAGAUUAUCAGAAGUCAAACCUGACUCAUGGCAUUUUGUAGUGUUAGCACUCUGGAUUCCAACUUCAGAUGUAUCAUUGAAGCAACCAUCAGGAAGAAGUGAACCAGAUUCAACAACAGCAGAUUCACCAAUUAUGCUAUUGGCAUGAGGUAAACUAGUCUCACUAGAACCUUUCAAAUGAAAUCCAGCUGAAUAUCUCUCAUCAGAAUUGUUUACU
This 1465-nucleotide unclassified non-coding RNA is filed under the name Hevea brasiliensis (rubber tree). The record is from RNAcentral. Lineage: Eukaryota; Viridiplantae; Streptophyta; Magnoliopsida; Malpighiales; Euphorbiaceae.